ACCGGCCUACGGGAGGCAGCAGUGAGGAAUAUUGGUCAAUGGUCGGGAGACUGAACCAGCCAAGCCGCGUGAGGGAUGAAGGUACAGAGUAUCGUAAACCUCUUUUGUCAGGGAACAAAGGCGGGGACGUGUCCCCGGAUGAGUGUACCUGAAGAAAAAGCAUCGGCUAACUCCGUGCCAGCAGCCGCGGUAAUACGGAGGAUGCGAGCGUUAUCCGGAUUUAUUGGGUUUAAAGGGUGCGCAGGCGGUCUGUUAAGCGAGCGGGCAA
RNAcentral lists this ribosomal RNA (268 nucleotides) under uncultured bacterium. RNAcentral's name for it is "partial 16S ribosomal RNA". It matches the Rfam family "Bacterial small subunit ribosomal RNA", at positions 330 to 598 of the family's 1533-position model. The record is from RNAcentral.